GCCCUCCUGUGGCGCAAUGAGUCAGUGUGUCUGGCUGUUAACCAGAAGGUUGGUGGUUCGAGCCCACCCAGGGAUG
RNAcentral lists this transfer RNA (76 nucleotides) under Podarcis lilfordi (Lilford's wall lizard). RNAcentral describes it as "tRNA.Asn". The stretch from base 6 to 72 matches the Rfam family "tRNA". From Rfam's summary of the family: Transfer RNA (tRNA) molecules are approximately 80 nucleotides in length. Their secondary structure includes four short double-helical elements and three loops (D, anti-codon, and T loops). Lineage: Eukaryota; Metazoa; Chordata; Lepidosauria; Squamata; Lacertidae. The record is from RNAcentral.